UACGUAGGUGACAAGCGUUGUCCGGAUUUAUUGGGCGUAAAGAGCUCGUAGGCGGUUUGUCACGUCUGCUGUGAAAGCCCGGGGCUUAACCCCGGGUGUGCAGUGGGUACGGGCAGACUAGAGUGCAGUAGGGGAGACCGGAAUUCCUGGUGUAGCGGUGAAAUGCGCAGAUAUCAGGAGGAACACCGAUGGCGAAGGCAGGUCUCUGGGCUGUUACUGACGCUGAGGAGCGAAAGCAUGGGGAGCGAACAGG
RNAcentral lists this unclassified non-coding RNA (253 nucleotides) under uncultured Micrococcaceae bacterium. RNAcentral describes it as "contains 16S-23S intergenic spacer region". It matches the Rfam family "Bacterial small subunit ribosomal RNA", at positions 524 to 776 of the family's 1533-position model. Lineage: Bacteria; Bacillati; Actinomycetota; Actinomycetes; Micrococcales; Micrococcaceae. The record is from RNAcentral.